AUGAACGCUGGCGGCGUGCCUAAUCCAUGCAAGUCGAGCGAACAGACGAGGAGCUUGCUCCUCUGACGUUAGCGGCGGACGGGUGAGUAACACGUGGAUAACCUACCUAUAAGACUGGGACAACUUCGGGAAACCGGAGCUAAUACCGGAUAAUAUAUUGAACCGCAUGGUUCAAUAGUGAAAGACGGUUUUGCUGUCACUUAUAGAUGGAUCCGCGCCGCAUUAGCUAGUUGGUAAGGUAACGGCUUACCAAGGCAACGAUGCGUAGCCGACCUGAGAGGGUGAUCGGCCACACUGGAACUGAGACACGGUCCAGACUCCUACGGGAGGCAGCAGUAGGGAAUCUUCCGCAAUGGGCGAAAGCCUGACGGAGCAACGCCGCGUGAGUGAUGAAGGUCUUCGGAUCGUAAAACUCUGUUAUUAGGGAAGAACAAAUGUGUAAGUAACUAUGCACGUCUUGACGGUACCUAAUCAGAAAGCCACGGCUAACUACGUG
RNAcentral lists this ribosomal RNA (496 nucleotides) under uncultured bacterium. RNAcentral describes it as "partial 16S ribosomal RNA". It matches the Rfam family "Bacterial small subunit ribosomal RNA", at positions 29 to 507 of the family's 1533-position model. The record is from RNAcentral.